AACGCUAGCUACAGGCUUAACACAUGCAAGUCGAGGGGCAGCAUGGUCUUAGCUUGCUAAGGCCGAUGGCGACCGGCGCACGGGUGAGUAACACGUAUCCAACCUGCCGUCUACUCUUGGACAGCCUUCUGAAAGGAAGAUUAAUACAAGAUGGCAUCAUGAGUCCGCAUGUUCACAUGAUUAAAGGUAUUCCGGUAGACGAUGGGGAUGCGUUCCAUUAGAUAGUAGGCGGGGUAACGGCCCACCUAGUCUUCGAUGGAUAGGGGUUCUGAGAGGAAGGUCCCCCACAUUGGAACUGAGACACGGUCCAAACUCCUACGGGAGGCAGCAGUGAGGAAUAUUGGUCAAUGGGCGAGAGCCUGAACCAGCCAAGUAGCGUGAAGGAUGACUGCCCUAUGGGUUGUAAACUUCUUUUAUAAAGGAAUAAAGUCGGGUAUGGAUACCCGUUUGCAUGUACUUUAUGAAUAAGGAUCGGCUAACUCCGUGCCAGCAGCCGCGGUAAUACGGAGGAUCCGAGCGUUAUCCGGAUUUAUUGGGUUUAAAGGGAGCGUAGAUGGAUGUUUAAGUCAGUUGUGAAAGUUUGCGGCUCAACCGUAAAAUUGCAGUUGAUACUGGAUAUCUUGAGUGCAGUUGAGGCAGGCGGAAUUCGUGGUGUAGCGGUGAAAUGCUUAGAUAUCACGAAGAACUCCGAUUGCGAAGGCAGCCUGCUAAGCUGCAACUGACAUUGAGGCUCGAAAGUGUGGGUAUCAAACAGGAUUAGAUACCCUGGUAGUCCACACGGUAAACGAUGAAUACUCGCUGUUUGCGAUAUACAGCAAGCGGCCAAGCGAGAGCGUUAAGUAUUCCACCUGGGGAGUACGCCGGCAACGGUGAAACUCAAAGGAAUUGACGGGGGCCCGCACAAGCGGAGGAACAUGUGGUUUAAUUCGAUGAUACGCGAGGAACCUUACCCGGGCUUAAAUUGCAGAUGAAUUACGGUGAAAGCCGUAAGCCGCAAGGCAUCUGUGAAGGUGCUGCAUGGUUGUCGUCAGCUCGUGCCGUGAGGUGUCGGCUUAAGUGCCAUAACGAGCGCAACCCUUGUUGUCAGUUACUAACAGGUUCCGCUGAGGACUCUGACAAGACUGCCAUCGUAAGAUGUGAGGAAGGUGGGGAUGACGUCAAAUCAGCACGGCCCUUACGUCCGGGGCUACACACGUGUUACAAUGGGGGGUACAGAGGGCCGCUACCACGCGAGUGGAUGCCAAUCCCCAAAACCUCUCUCAGUUCGGACUGGAGUCUGCAACCCGACUCCACGAAGCUGGAUUCGCUAGUAAUCGCGCAUCAGCCACGGCGCGGUGAAUACGUUCCCGGGCCUUGUACACACCGCCCGUCAAGCCAUGGGAGCCGGGGGUACCUGAAGUGCGUAACCGCGAGGAGCGCCCUAGGGUAAAACUGGUGACUGGGGC
RNAcentral lists this ribosomal RNA (1445 nucleotides) under uncultured organism. RNAcentral's name for it is "SSU rRNA". It matches the Rfam family "Bacterial small subunit ribosomal RNA". The record is from RNAcentral.